Apodemus sylvaticus (European woodmouse) is the source of this 2400-nucleotide RNA transcript. It is a transcript of the gene named retinol dehydrogenase 13, with no coding region annotated. The record is from RefSeq and is a predicted model, not a curated record. NCBI's taxonomy places the organism in Eukaryota, Metazoa, Chordata, Mammalia, Rodentia, Muridae. The transcript has 8 exons.
CUUCCUUCCACUUUCACGCUGCUCGAGCGCAUGUGGGUUCCUGGGCAGCGGGUUCAUCCGCAGAGUGGCCUGGAGUGCAGAUCCACCGACGACCUGUUCCCCAGCCUGGGAUGAACCGCUUUCUGCUGCCGGUGUCCGUAGUGGGCACGGUGAUCGGCGGCACCGUGCUGCUCAAGGACUAUGUCGCUGGAGGGGCUUGUCCCAGCAAGGCCACCAUACCUGGGAAGACUGUUAUUGUGACAGGAGCCAACACGGGCAUCGGGAAACAAACUGCUUUGGAGCUGGCUAAAAGAGGAGGCAACGUCAUUCUAGCCUGCCGUGACAUGGAGAAGUGCGAGGCGGCAGCAAAGGACAUCCGUGGGGAGACCUUGAAUUCCCGUGUACGGGCUGAACACCUAGACUUGGCUUCCCUCAAGUCCAUCCGGGAGUUUGCGAGGAAGAUCAUUAAAGAGGAGGAGCGGGUAGACAUUCUGGUCAACAAUGCGGCUGUGAUGCGGUGCCCACACUGGACCACUGAGGACGGCUUUGAGAUGCAGUUUGGUGUCAACCACUUGGGGCAUUUUCUAUUGACAAAUUUGCUGUUGGACAAACUGAAGGCCUCGGCCCCGUCACGCAUCAUCAAUCUCUCAUCCUUGGCUCACGUGGCUGGGCAUAUAGACUUCGACGACUUGAACUGGCAGAUGAAAAAGUAUGACACCAAGGCAGCGUACUGCCAGAGCAAGUUGGCUGUUGUCCUCUUCACCAAGGAGCUGAGCCGCCGCCUGCGAGGUACGGGUGUGACUGUCAAUGCACUGCACCCUGGCGUGGCCAGGACGGAGCUGGGGCGACAUACAGGCAUGCACAAUUCCGCCUUCUCCGGCUUCACGCUCGGGCCCUUCUUCUGGUUGCUGUUCAAGAGUCCCCAGCUGGCGGCCCAGCCGAGCACAUAUCUGGCUGUAGCAGAGGAACUGGAGAAUGUUUCGGGGAAGUACUUUGAUGGACUCAGAGAGAAGGCUCCAUCUCCCGAGGCUGAAGAUGAGGAAGUAGCCCGGAGGCUUUGGACUGAAAGUGCCCAUUUGGUGGGCUUGGACAUGACUCAAGGGUCCGCUGGGAGAGGACAUUCCAUCCCCAGAUAACCUUCAGAGAUCCAGAUGGAGCUGCGUUACCAAGGCUGCUGCUGGCCAUGCCCUCAGCAUCCUCUAGGGGCAGCGUUGCAUGGUUGAACUCUCUAGACUAUGGCUGCUGGCUGCCAUGCCCUCAUCAUCCUCUAGGGGCAGCGUUGGUACUAUUAGAAUCUCAAGACUGUGACUGCUGGCUGCCACGCCCUCAUCAUCCUCUAGGUGGCAGUGUUGGUCCUAGCAUUUACUGUUAGCCAGUUACAUUGAGUUGGACCACAGGUAGGCACUAGCUCAGGGGGUAGCAAGGACAUGUACUCUUGGUUGCUGGGGAGGUGGUCCAUCAGGUGCCCUCCUUAGGAAUCUAAAAGGGGAGGCCGAUAGAGGAGUCGGUUACUGUGGUCAUGGGCAGGGUCCAGAGACAGUGGGCGCCAGAGCUGCUGUGGCGGACUGACUGGUCCACUGCUAAGGAGCAGGUGCUCUAUGGAUCUCUGUGGCUGUGUACACUGUGCCUGCUCUCUGAUUUCACUGUUGUUCCAGUUAGCGUUCUGUUGCUGUGAUAAACACCAUGACCAAAAUCAACUCGGGGAGGAAAAGGGCUUCCUUAACUUACAGGUUACAGUUUAUCAUGGAAGAACAGAGACAGGGCAGGAACUCAGGACAGUAACUUGAAGCAGAUCCCCAUGGAGGUGUGCUCACAGGCAUGCAUCAGAUACCUUUCUGUUUUAUUAUUAUUAUUACUAUUUUGCAGAGAGGGUCUCACUUUGUAACCCUGACCUUCCUGGAACUUGCUGUGUAGAGCAGGCUGGCCUUGAACUCACAGAUAUUUGCCUUCUGGGAUUAAAGGCAUGCAUUACUAUGCCCGGCCCAGGUACCGGUGCAGGCCCGGUCCAGACAGCUCUUGAGUACAAACUGCAAAGUGUCACUGCUACUUCCGGGAUGGUGUUGGCCUGAAGCGUCUGCCCGACUCAGAAAGGGUAGCUGUGGACACCUCGUGUCCUGGACAGUGGCGGGGGCUGCAGGCUGCAGUCCACUGGGAACCUGGCACAGACCCUGCCCUUGUUAACCCUGAACUGCUCAGGACAGAGUGGAAUGAAACGCUGCCUCAGAAAACCAGUGUGACCUGGGGUCACGAUCUCUCCAAUUCCUAAUUUUAAACCUUAGAUGCUCAGGCUUGUUUAUCAUCAGAUAACGUGUUAGGGGUAGUGACACUUAAGCGGGAAGAGAGGCAGGAGGAUCAAGAGUUCAAGUCAUCCUCUCCAGCCUGGGCUAAACAAGAUCCUGUUAAAACAAAACAAAACAAAAC